Molecule: ribosomal RNA, 372 nt
Filed under: uncultured organism
Description: bacterial SSU rRNA
Rfam family: Bacterial small subunit ribosomal RNA
Source: RNAcentral
CGGGGGGGGCAAGCGUUGUUCGGAAUUACUGGGCGUAAAGGGCUCGUAGGCGGCCAACUAAGUCAGACGUGAAAUCCCUCGGCUUAACCGGGGAACUGCGUCUGAUACUGGAUGGCUUGAGAUUGGGAGAGGGAUGCGGAAUUCCAGGUGUAGCGGUGAAAUGCGUAGAUAUCUGGAGGAACACCGGUGGCGAAGGCGGCAUCCUGGACCAAUACUGACGCUGAGGAGCGAAAGCCAGGGGAGCAAACGGGAUUAGAUACCCCGGUAGUCCUGGCCCUAAACGAUGAAUGCUUGGUGUGGCGGGUAUCGAUCCCUGCCGUGCCGAAGCUAACGCAUUAAGCAUUCCGCCUGGGGAGUACGGUCGCAAGGCUG